Long non-coding RNA from Syngnathus typhle (broad-nosed pipefish), 737 nucleotides. RefSeq lists it as uncharacterized. The record is from RefSeq and is a predicted model, not a curated record. Lineage: Eukaryota; Metazoa; Chordata; Actinopteri; Syngnathiformes; Syngnathidae. The transcript is spliced from 2 exons.
UUUGUCGAGGCGGCUUCCGGGUUCUCUGCCGGACGCCCUCUUCCUUCUCAGCCAGACUCCCAAUACUUUUCAGGCUUGGACGAUUUUGUUUUCUCCAGCGUGGAACUCAUCUCCCUGACUCUAAAGUAAGUUUGAAUCUUUUAUUACACUGUCGAUCUUUUUUUUUUUUUCACAGUUGGAGUGCCUGGGAGAGCGGAGGCUUCGUGGCCGUUUGUCUGCCGUCGAUCAUCGGACACAAAGUAUGGCUGCGGAUCGAGAGUUUGUUUUCUCUCCCUCUCCACCCCCUCCCUCCCCCCUCCCCGGCCGGGGAGGUGGUUAGGUGGUACCCAUGCUGACAGCGGCUAUCUGGAUUCUCGUGGCCAAUUCAGGAUAGGGGAACUGCAGCUCAACCUCCUCGAAGAGCACUGCCAGGACAAUUGAGGGCUCCUUUCGGCAGCCCUCUGCUGUGACAUGGAGAUCCACUUUUUAUUUAAUUGAUUUUCAUGUUGUAUCAUUUGUGCCCUCUCUGCAUCCAUUUCAACCUGGUGAUCCUGAAAGGGGGAUCCUUCCAUCUGUGGUCCCUUCUCAAGGUUUCUCAUUUUCCCCCUGCUAGGGGUUUUUAAGUUUUUCCUUGCCCUUUUGGGAGCUUAAGAUCAGGGGAUGCUUUGAGAAUAAUUGUCAAUUUCUGUCUAUGUGAAGCCCUUUGAGACUGCUUGUGAUUUAGGGCUAUACAAAUAAACUUGACUUGACUUGACAGA